Molecule: long non-coding RNA, 203 nt
Filed under: Elaeis guineensis (African oil palm)
Lineage: Eukaryota; Viridiplantae; Streptophyta; Magnoliopsida; Arecales; Arecaceae
Description: long non-coding RNA (EGUI_LNC057318)
Source: RNAcentral
CCUUCUAGCCACACAAGCACCCGAUCUCUACGGGUAUCCAUAUAAGACUCUGAUCUGAUCAGAAGUCUUUUGAUCUCAUCGGAGUGCUAGCUCUCUUGUAGAGAUUACAUCUUGACAGUUGAAAUUCUUUUUUUCUCCUAAGAUACUUUUAAAGAACAAGAAGAUGUAGGAGGAUCUUGAUCUCUACUCUAGAGAUCAUGAGA